This 2526-nucleotide ribosomal RNA is filed under the name Escherichia coli. RNAcentral's name for it is "partial 23S ribosomal RNA". It matches the Rfam family "Bacterial large subunit ribosomal RNA", at positions 419 to 2925 of the family's 2925-position model. Lineage: Bacteria; Pseudomonadati; Pseudomonadota; Gammaproteobacteria; Enterobacterales; Enterobacteriaceae. The record is from RNAcentral.
GGGACACGUGGUAUCCUGUCUGAAUAUGGGGGGACCAUCCUCCAAGGCUAAAUACUCCUGACUGACCGAUAGUGAACCAGUACCGUGAGGGAAAGGCGAAAAGAACCCCGGCGAGGGGAGUGAAAAAGAACCUGAAACCGUGUACGUACAAGCAGUGGGAGCACGCUUAGGCGUGUGACUGCGUACCUUUUGUAUAAUGGGUCAGCGACUUAUAUUCUGUAGCAAGGUUAACCGAAUAGGGGAGCCGAAGGGAAACCGAGUCUUAACUGGGCGUUAAGUUGCAGGGUAUAGACCCGAAACCCGGUGAUCUAGCCAUGGGCAGGUUGAAGGUUGGGUAACACUAACUGGAGGACCGAACCGACUAAUGUUGAAAAAUUAGCGGAUGACUUGUGGCUGGGGGUGAAAGGCCAAUCAAACCGGGAGAUAGCUGGUUCUCCCCGAAAGCUAUUUAGGUAGCGCCUCGUGAAUUCAUCUCCGGGGGUAGAGCACUGUUUCGGCAAGGGGGUCAUCCCGACUUACCAACCCGAUGCAAACUGCGAAUACCGGAGAAUGUUAUCACGGGAGACACACGGCGGGUGCUAACGUCCGUCGUGAAGAGGGAAACAACCCAGACCGCCAGCUAAGGUCCCAAAGUCAUGGUUAAGUGGGAAACGAUGUGGGAAGGCCCAGACAGCCAGGAUGUUGGCUUAGAAGCAGCCAUCAUUUAAAGAAAGCGUAAUAGCUCACUGGUCGAGUCGGCCUGCGCGGAAGAUGUAACGGGGCUAAACCAUGCACCGAAGCUGCGGCAGCGACGCUUAUGCGUUGUUGGGUAGGGGAGCGUUCUGUAAGCCUGUGAAGGUGUGCUGUGAGGUAUGCUGGAGGUAUCAGAAGUGCGAAUGCUGACAUAAGUAACGAUAAAGCGGGUGAAAAGCCCGCUCGCCGGAAGACCAAGGGUUCCUGUCCAACGUUAAUCGGGGCAGGGUGAGUCGACCCCUAAGGCGAGGCCGAAAGGCGUAGUCGAUGGGAAACAGGUUAAUAUUCCUGUACUUGGUGUUACUGCGAAGGGGGGACGGAGAAGGCUAUGUUGGCCGGGCGACGGUUGUCCCGGUUUAAGCGUGUAGGCUGGUUUUCCAGGCAAAUCCGGAAAAUCAAGGCUGAGGCGUGAUGACGAGGCACUACGGUGCUGAAGCAACAAAUGCCCUGCUUCCAGGAAAAGCCUCUAAGCAUCAGGUAACAUCAAAUCGUACCCCAAACCGACACAGGUGGUCAGGUAGAGAAUACCAAGGCGCUUGAGAGAACUCGGGUGAAGGAACUAGGCAAAAUGGUGCCGUAACUUCGGGAGAAGGCACGCUGAUAUGUAGGUGAAGCGACUUGCUCGUGGAGCUGAAAUCAGUCGAAGAUACCAGCUGGCUGCAACUGUUUAUUAAAAACACAGCACUGUGCAAACACGAAAGUGGACGUAUACGGUGUGACGCCUGCCCGGUGCCGGAAGGUUAAUUGAUGGGGUUAGCGCAAGCGAAGCUCUUGAUCGAAGCCCCGGUAAACGGCGGCCGUAACUAUAACGGUCCUAAGGUAGCGAAAUUCCUUGUCGGGUAAGUUCCGACCUGCACGAAUGGCGUAAUGAUGGCCAGGCUGUCUCCACCCGAGACUCAGUGAAAUUGAACUCGCUGUGAAGAUGCAGUGUACCCGCGGCAAGACGGAAAGACCCCGUGAACCUUUACUAUAGCUUGACACUGAACAUUGAGCCUUGAUGUGUAGGAUAGGUGGGAGGCUUUGAAGUGUGGACGCCAGUCUGCAUGGAGCCGACCUUGAAAUACCACCCUUUAAUGUUUGAUGUUCUAACGUUGACCCGUAAUCCGGGUUGCGGACAGUGUCUGGUGGGUAGUUUGACUGGGGCGGUCUCCUCCUAAAGAGUAACGGAGGAGCACGAAGGUUGGCUAAUCCUGGUCGGACAUCAGGAGGUUAGUGCAAUGGCAUAAGCCAGCUUGACUGCGAGCGUGACGGCGCGAGCAGGUGCGAAAGCAGGUCAUAGUGAUCCGGUGGUUCUGAAUGGAAGGGCCAUCGCUCAACGGAUAAAAGGUACUCCGGGGAUAACAGGCUGAUACCGCCCAAGAGUUCAUAUCGACGGCGGUGUUUGGCACCUCGAUGUCGGCUCAUCACAUCCUGGGGCUGAAGUAGGUCCCAAGGGUAUGGCUGUUCGCCAUUUAAAGUGGUACGCGAGCUGGGUUUAGAACGUCGUGAGACAGUUCGGUCCCUAUCUGCCGUGGGCGCUGGAGAACUGAGGGGGGCUGCUCCUAGUACGAGAGGACCGGAGUGGACGCAUCACUGGUGUUCGGGUUGUCAUGCCAAUGGCACUGCCCGGUAGCUAAAUGCGGAAGAGAUAAGUGCUGAAAGCAUCUAAGCACGAAACUUGCCCCGAGAUGAGUUCUCCCUGACUCCUUGAGAGUCCUGAAGGAACGUUGAAGACGACGACGUUGAUAGGCCGGGUGUGUAAGCGCAGCGAUGCGUUGAGCUAACCGGUACUAAUGAACCGUGAGGCUUAACCUU